GUGUUUGCUUUGGCAGCACAUAAACUAAAAUUGGAAUGAUAACAGAGAAGAUUAAUGUGACCCCUACACAAGGAUGAAGAAAUUUAGAAUUUGGGUUUGCUAUC
This is a small nuclear RNA of Sarcophilus harrisii (Tasmanian devil), 104 nucleotides long. Lineage: Eukaryota; Metazoa; Chordata; Mammalia; Dasyuromorphia; Dasyuridae. The record is from Ensembl.